AUGGCAACCCUUCGAGUCGACGAAAUUCAUAAAAUUCUCCGCGAACGUAUUGAACAAUAUAAUAGGAAAGUAGGGAUUGAGAAUAUAGGUCGCGUAGUUCAAGUGGGGGAUGGGAUUGCUCGUAUUAUAGGUCUUGGUGAAAUAAUGUCAGGAGAAUUAGUCGAAUUUGCAGAAGGUACUAGGGGUAUUGCUCUGAAUUUGGAAUCCAAAAAUGUUGGGAUUGUAUUAAUGGGCGAUGGGUUGAUGAUACAAGAGGGAAGUUUUGUAAAAGCAACAGGAAGAAUUGCUCAGAUACCCGUGAGUGAGGCUUACUUGGGUCGUGUUGUAAAUGCUCUGGCUAAACCUAUUGAUGGGAAAGGCGAAAUUAUAGCUUCCGAAUCUCGCUUAAUUGAAUCUCCUGCUCCAAGUAUAAUUUCCAGGCGUUCCGUAUACGAACCUCUUCAAACAGGGCUUAUUGCUAUCGAUUCGAUGAUCCCUAUAGGGCGCGGUCAGCGAGAGUUAAUUAUUGGGGACAGACAGACUGGCAAAACAGCAGUAGCCACAGAUACAAUUCUCAAUCAAAAAGGGCAAGGUGUAAUAUGUGUUUAUGUAGCUAUCGGUCAAAGAGCAUCCUCCGUAGCUCAAGUAGUAACUACUUUCCAUGAGGAGGGGGCUAUGGAAUACACUAUUGUAGUAGCUGAAAUGGCGGAUUCACCUGCUACAUUACAAUACCUCGCUCCUUAUACGGGAGCAGCCCUGGCUGAGUAUUUUAUGUACCGCGAACGGCAUACUUUAAUAAUUUAUGAUGAUCUCUCCAAACAGGCACAAGCUUAUCGCCAAAUGUCCCUUCUAUUAAGAAGACCUCCCGGCCGUGAGGCUUAUCCAGGGGAUGUUUUUUAU
Molecule: ribosomal RNA, 879 nt
Filed under: Triticum aestivum (bread wheat)
Lineage: Eukaryota; Viridiplantae; Streptophyta; Magnoliopsida; Poales; Poaceae
Description: partial small subunit ribosomal RNA
Source: RNAcentral